AUGGAUAGCGUCGACACAAACCCGGCGGCCAGCGUCGAAGGUUGCAGCUUUCAGCCGCUCAACCCAGAAGACGUGCGCGCAUGCCUCUACAAGGCCGCCGACUUCAUCACGGAUUACUACAUCAGCAUCGAGUCCAUGCCGGUUCUCCCCGACGUCAAGCCAGGCUACCUACGGAACGAGCUUAUGGCGUCCCCGCCAGAACACUCGGCUCCCUUUGACGUCACCAUGAAGGAGCUGAGGACAUCCGUCGUCCCCGGGAUGAUGCAUUGGGCUAACCCCAACUUCUUCGCGUUCUUCCCGUCCACCAACAGCGCCGCAGCCAUCGCAGGGGAGCUAAUUGCCUCGGCCAUGAACACCGUGGGGUUCACGUGGCAGGCGGCUCCUGCGGCCACCGAGAUGGAGGUGCUCGUGCUGGACUGGCUCGCGCAGCUCCUGCGACUGCCAGCUAGCUUCAUGAACCGCACCAGCGCUGGGCAUGGCACCGGCGGCGGAGUCAUCCUUGGGACCACCAGUGAGGCCAUGCUCGUCACACUGGUUGCCGCACGUGAUGCGGCGCUGCGCCGGAGUGGCUCCAAUGGCGUGGACCGCAUCACAAGGCUCACGGUGUACGCUAGCAACCAGACACACUCCACGUUCUUCAAGGCAUGCCGCCUCACCGACUUUGACCCUGCCAACCUCCGAUCCAUCCCUACCGGGCCGGAGACUGACUACGGGCUCGACCCGGCCAAGUUGCUCGAGAUCAUGCAUGCGGACUUUCGUGCCAGCCUCGUGCCAACAUACAUCUGCGCCACUGUUGGUACCACGUCGUCCAACGCCGUGGACCCGGUGGGUGCAGUUGCAGAUGUCGCAGCCAUGUUUAAUGCAUGGGUCCACGUCGAUGCUGCCUAUGCUGGCAGCGCCUGCAUCUGUCCGGAGUUUCGGCACUAUAUCGAUGGCGUUGAGCAUGUGGACUCCAUCAGUAUGAGCCCGCACAAGUGGCUGCUCACAUGCCUUGACUGCACCUGCUUGUGGGUGCGCAACACGCACCGUCUCACCGACGCACUACAGAUGAACCCAGAGUAUCUGAAGAACGACGCUACCGAGUCCGGCAUGGCCACCGAUCUCAAGGACAUGCAAGUCGGUGUGGGCCGCCGCUUCCGUGGGCUCAAGUUGUGGAUGGUGAUGCGCACCUACGGCACUACCAAGCUUCAGGAGCACAUCCGAAGCGAUGUUGCUAUGGCCAAAGCAUUCGAGGAGCUUGUCCGUGCCGAUGACCGGUUCGAGAUUGUAGUGCCGAGGAACUUCGCCUUGGUAUGCUUCAGAAUCAGGGCAUGUGGAGCCAUGACAGAGGAAGUGGCCGAUGAGGUGAACCAUCUCCUGAUGGACCGGCUCAACAUUUCGGGGAAGGCCUACCUUGCGCACACGGUGGUCGGCAGGAGGUUCACUCUACGGUUCGCGGUAGGGUCGUCGAUGCAGGAGGAGCGGCACGUGCGGAGGAGAUCAUGCAAUAACGGAGUUCAUCAAUUAAUGUGUUCGAUUAAUUAUUAUUGUUUGUGA
This 1536-nucleotide ribosomal RNA is filed under the name Triticum aestivum (bread wheat). RNAcentral's name for it is "partial small subunit ribosomal RNA". Lineage: Eukaryota; Viridiplantae; Streptophyta; Magnoliopsida; Poales; Poaceae. The record is from RNAcentral.